RNAcentral lists this ribosomal RNA (427 nucleotides) under uncultured bacterium. Its description in RNAcentral is "bacterial SSU rRNA". It matches the Rfam family "Bacterial small subunit ribosomal RNA", at positions 355 to 774 of the family's 1533-position model. The record is from RNAcentral.
UGGGGAAUUUUGGACAAUGGGCGCAAGCCUGAUCCAGCCAUGCCGCGUGCAGGAUGAAGGCCUUCGGGUUGUAAACUGCUUUUGUACGGAACGAAAAGGUGCCUUCUAAUAAAGGGCGCUCAUGACGGUACCGUAAGAAUAAGCACCGGCUAACUACGUGCCAGCAGCCGCGGUAAUACGUAGGGUGCGAGCGUUAAUCGGAAUUACUGGGCGUAAAGCGUGCGCAGGCGGUUUUGUAAGACAGAGGUGAAAUCCCCGGGCUCAACCUGGGAACUGCCUUUGUGACUGCAAGGCUGGAGUGCGGCAGAGGGGGAUGGAAUUCCGCGUGUAGCAGUGAAAUGCGUAGAUAUGCGGAGGAACACCGAUGGCGAAGGCAAUCCCCUGAGCCUGCACUGACGCUCAUGCACGAAAGCGUGGGAAGCAAACA